GACGAACGCUGGCGGCACGCCUAACACAUGCGAGUCGAACGGACUUACAAGAGCUUGCUUUUUUAAGUUAGUGGCGGACGGGUGAGUAACACGUGAGCAACCUGCCUCUGAGAGGGGGAUAGCUUCUGGAAACGGAUGGUAAUACCCCAUAAAAUAUAAAUAUCGCAUGAUAGAUAUAUCAAAGAAAUUCGCUCAGAGAUGGGCUCGCGUCUGAUUAGAUAGUUGGUGAGGUAACGGCUCACCAAGUCGACGAUCAGUAGCCGGACUGAGAGGUUGAACGGCCACAUUGGGACUGAGACACGGUCCAGACUCCUACGGGAGGCAGCAGUGGGGAAUAUUGCACAAUGGAGGGAACUCUGAUGCAGCGAUGCCGCGUGGAGGAAGAAGGUUUUCGGAUUGUAAACUCCUUUUAUCAGGGACGAUAAUGACGGUACCUGAAGAAAAAGCUCCGGCUAACUACGUG
This 463-nucleotide ribosomal RNA is filed under the name uncultured bacterium. RNAcentral's name for it is "partial 16S ribosomal RNA". It matches the Rfam family "Bacterial small subunit ribosomal RNA", at positions 28 to 507 of the family's 1533-position model. The record is from RNAcentral.